AGAAGGCGGAGCCCCGGACUGGCUGGAAAAGAGAACUCCAUCUCAGGAACCAUGGUUUGCCCUGGAGAGCUUAGCACUGGGCUGAGCACACCGUGUGGGAUUCAACGUGCUAAAAUGCAGAACCUGAUGCCCAGCAAAGGGGAAAGGAUAGCAGGAGCCUUGAUCCACCCAGGAAGAGGUGCCAGCUGGAUCAGCAAGAGGCUGGUGGAGAACAAGAAGCUGCUAUGAACCAAUCUUUAGAAAACAGCAGGAUCUCCGAGGAGAGAAAGAAUUUCUCUCCAGCCAAAAGCUUCAUGAGAUGGAAGGGGAUAUCCUAUCUCCUAUAUUGUAUCCUCAUCAUGGUCUCAAUAAACCCACUUGGAAGAUGCCCAU
Homo sapiens (human) is the source of this 372-nucleotide long non-coding RNA. NCBI's taxonomy places the organism in Eukaryota, Metazoa, Chordata, Mammalia, Primates, Hominidae. The record is from Ensembl.